This is an RNA transcript of Papaver somniferum (opium poppy), 2186 nucleotides long. It is a transcript of the gene named protein ENHANCED DISEASE RESISTANCE 2-like, with no coding region annotated. The record is from RefSeq and is a predicted model, not a curated record. The transcript has 6 exons. Lineage: Eukaryota; Viridiplantae; Streptophyta; Magnoliopsida; Ranunculales; Papaveraceae.
AGAUGUUAAAACAAAGCAGAAGAGAUAAUUGGGAUUUGGGAGUGGAUUUUCAUUUCAACUAACCUGAAACUUCAAGGAUCGCGUUUUAACAUCAUUAAUUAGCAACAGAUUUGUUCAGAGAUUCUCUAAUUCUUGAUUUUGGGCCAACUAAAGAAACAUUGUAAUCAUGGAAUUGACUAAUCAAAAGCAACUAAAGGGGGAAAACAGCAUGAGUGAGCAGGCAACAGAUAGGAUCACCGAUUUACCCGACUCACUUCUUCAUCAUGUCUUAUCUUUAUUAGAUAUCAAGGAGGUUGUUCGUACUAGCAUGUUAUCUAAAAGAUGGUACAACAUUUGGAUCUCUAUCCCCACCCUUGAUUUUCGAAGUUUGAGUGAUCCUUUUGAUCAUGAGGAGAGAACUAGCAUUGAAACUUAUCAGGAGAGUAGUAAAUUCAUGGAUAUAGUGGAUAAAAUAUUGCGUCUUCAUGAUACGUCAAGUAUACAGAAGUUGUUUCUUUGUUGGAAUUACCACUUGAGUGCAUCUCGGGUUAUUUUAUGGAUCUUCGAAGUAAUAAGGCGCAAUGUUGAAGAGCUUCAUCUCAGCUUAGUCCUAAAUUCAACCCUUUAUUCCCCUUUGUCUCUUUGUACUUGUGAAUCAUUGGUUACCCUGGAGCUAGAUAUCUUCCCUAACCUUUGUCUACCUAACUAUGUGUCUUUUCCUAAACUCAAGCACUUUAAACUCUCUCGAGCCAUAUUUAGCAGUAAGUACAACAGUGAGCAAUUCUUCUCCAAUUGUCCUGUCCUUGAGAAUUUGACACUGGAAAAAUGUGAAUGGUUUGACAUAAGGAAGUUUUGUUUGUCAACUCCUUCAUUAAAAGUUUUGAAAAUUAGUCAUUUGGAUGAUUUUGGCGAGAAAUAUGGUUUAGAAAAUUGUGCUUUCGAAAUUCAUGCACCUCUAGUGUCUCUCACCUACUGGGGUGAUGUUGCUAAGGAAUUUGUCAUGUCUAACUCUUCAACGCUAGCUGAAGUAGAUGUUGACUUUGGCUUCGAAGAUUAUGAUAUAUCGACAAAUGGAUGGUUCGACCAGGGUGCCAACAUAAGUAAGUUUCUUCGAGCACUUUCACAUGUAAAGUGUCUAACAAUUUCUAAUGGGAUCCUAGAGGUUCUCUCGUUCACACACGAUCUCAUGAAAUUAUUUCCUGCAUUUGACAAUUUGGUGAAGUUGCAUAUGAUUCAUACCGCAUCCAACUAUAAAGCAUUAAUUGCUUUGUUGCAAUUAGCACCUAAUCUGGAGUCCCUUUCAUUUUCCCAGAUAGGUGCUCGGUCCUACGAAAAAGAAUCUGAUGAUGACAACCCACCUUACCACUAUGGUGUUGGCUGGGAACUUGAUUUGAUCAGUACUAAGUGUUUGUUUCCACACCUGAAGUCGGUUUCCUUUAAGUACUUUGGGGGUGACCUUAGCGUGGUAAGGUUGGCGGAAUUAGUUUUGAAACAAGCAACAGCAUUGGAAAUAAUGACUUUCAUUUCUCCAGAGGUAGACGCGAAAUUUAUUAUGGAGAAUUUAGCAAGUCUUCCAAGAGCCUCAGCUAGUUGCGUGUUUAACUUCCCCUGAGACGUCAUAGGGAUGCUUGUUCCUUUGAGUUAGAAAUUAAUGUGUGUUGUUCUCGGUGUCUGAGAUCGUGUGGAACUUUUGAUAUAUUCUCAAAAUUCAACCAUCAUAAUCUGGGGAACGCAUCAAGUAAAUAGUCAGAGACAUCAUGUUCAUAACUUCUGAUAUUGUGUCUUCGGCACUCGAACAUCUUUGUAGCUGAAGUACUAAUGCAGUUUGGUAACCUCUUGUUCAUAUCUGUCAUGUUAUUUAUGAAUUUACCAGUGUACUACACCCUGGAAGAUUAAGAACUAAGGAGAUUUAUGGCAAAUCCUUCCAGAGUCUUGCCUAAUUCGAAACUCUCCCAAGUUAUGAACACUCCAACCUAAGUUCAAAGUAGGCUUCCUUUGUGGGUCAAACUCGCGACUACCCUCAGGCCUCAACAUUCCAAAAAAGAGUGUGAAAAUAGGAAAAGAUCUCAAAAGCAGAGGAGACAAUAAUACAGACUGGAAUCCUGGAUUAAGAUUUUCAUCUAAUAAUAAUUAGCUUUCCGGUCAGAGAUUCUCAAAUUCUUGAUUUUGGGCUAAGAUAAGAUUUUCUCAUUUACAUAUGGCUGAAU